GAUGAACGCUGACGGCGUGCCUAAUACAUGCAAGUCGAGCGAACGGACGCGACGCUUGCUUCUCUGAUGUUAGCGGCGGACGGGUGAGUAACACGUGGAUAACCUACCUAUAAGACUGGGAUCACUUCGGGAAACCGGCGCUAAUACCGGAUAAUAUUUUGCACCGCAUGGUUCAAAAGUGAAAGACGGUCUUGCUGUCACUUCUAGAUGGAUCCGCGCUGCAUUAGCUAGUUGGUAAGGUAACGGCUUACCAAGGCAACGAUGCAUAGCCGACCUGAGAGGGUGAUCGGCCACACGGGAACUGAGACACGGUCCAGACGCCUACGGGAGGCAGCAGUAGGGAAUCUGCCGCAAUGGGCGAAAGCCUGACGGAGCAACGCCGCGUGAGUGAUGAAGGUCUUCGGAUCGUAAAACUCUGUUAUUAGGGAAGAACAUAUGUGUAAGUAACUGUGCACAGCUUGACGGUACCUAAUCAGAAAGCCACGGCUAACUACGUG
This 497-nucleotide ribosomal RNA is filed under the name uncultured bacterium. RNAcentral's name for it is "partial 16S ribosomal RNA". It matches the Rfam family "Bacterial small subunit ribosomal RNA", at positions 28 to 507 of the family's 1533-position model. The record is from RNAcentral.